GAUCCUUCUAUCUCUCAUUGUUGGACAAAACUACACCCACCUCAAUACAUGCGCUUAGGCCAUUACAUACCUCCAAGCAACAUCCGGUUGAUGCUGCGACAUGUGUCCAUCUCAAGAGAGUGAAAAAAGAGUUUGAGUUGUAUCUUUUGGGUGGAAGAAUGGUUGAUCUUCUUUCACAAACUUAAUCAUUGGAUCUCACUUUGCACAUUUUUCAAAGCACGAAGUGAGCUUUAUGAUCUAUGCUGUAGAUGGAAGGAAGAGGUUUAUGACAUUAUGAAAGGUGUGCACAACGCGAUC
RNAcentral lists this long non-coding RNA (297 nucleotides) under Elaeis guineensis (African oil palm). RNAcentral describes it as "long non-coding RNA (EGUI_LNC000423)". The record is from RNAcentral. Lineage: Eukaryota; Viridiplantae; Streptophyta; Magnoliopsida; Arecales; Arecaceae.